This 225-nucleotide unclassified non-coding RNA is filed under the name uncultured fungus. RNAcentral describes it as "partial contains 18S rRNA, ITS1, 5.8S rRNA, ITS2 and 28S rRNA". The record is from RNAcentral. Lineage: Eukaryota; Fungi.
AAGGAUCAUUAACGAAUUACAGGGGGGUUGAUGCUGGUAGUCUCUGGCUGCAUGUGCUCACUCUCCUAGUCCAAUUUUUUACACCUGUGCACUUAGAUUUGAAGGCAGGAUUUUUUUAAAGCCUGCUUUCGAAAUUCAUAAACUCUCGUUUAAAAUUAUUGGAUGUUUGUCUGCCGCAUGGCGAAAAAUGGAAUACAACUUUUAACAACGGAUCUCUUGGCUCUC